RNAcentral lists this ribosomal RNA (401 nucleotides) under uncultured soil bacterium. Its description in RNAcentral is "bacterial SSU rRNA". It matches the Rfam family "Bacterial small subunit ribosomal RNA", at positions 975 to 1375 of the family's 1533-position model. The record is from RNAcentral.
CAGGUCUUGACAUCCUCUGACAAUCCUAGAGAUAGGACUUUCCCCUUCGGGGGACAGAGUGACAGGUGGUGCAUGGUUGUCGUCAGCUCGUGUCGUGAGAUGUUGGGUUAAGUCCCGCAACGAGCGCAACCCUUGUCCUUAGUUGCCAGCAUUCAGUUGGGCACUCUAAGGAGACUGCCGGUGACAAACCGGAGGAAGGUGGGGAUGACGUCAAAUCAUCAUGCCCCUUAUGACCUGGGCUACACACGUGCUACAAUGGAUGGUACAAAGGGCUGCAAGACCGCGAGGUUUAGCCAAUCCCAUAAAACCAUUCUCAGUUCGGAUUGUAGGCUGCAACUCGCCUACAUGAAGCCGGAAUCGCUAGUAAUCGUGGAUCAGCAUGCCACGGUGAAUACGUUCCC